AUUGAACGCUGGCGGCAGGCCUAACACAUGCAAGUCGAGCGGAUGAAGGGAGCUUGCUCCUGGAUUCAGCGGCGGAGGGGUGAGUAAUGCCUAGGAAUCUGCCUGGUAGUGGGGGAUAACGUCCGGAAACGGGCGCUAAUACCGCAUACGUCCUGAGGGAGAAAGUGGGGGAUCUUCGGACCUCACGCUAUCAGAUGAGCCUAGGUCGGAUUAGCUAGUUGGUGGGGUAAAGGCCUACCAAGGCGACGAUCCGUAACUGGUCUGAGAGGAUGAUCAGUCACACUGGAACUGAGACACGGUCCAGACUCCUACGGGAGGCAGCAGUGGGGAAUAUUGGACAAUGGGCGAAAGCCUGAUCCAGCCAUGCCGCGUGUGUGAAGAAGGUCUUCGGAUUGUAAAGCACUUUAAGUUGGGAGGAAGGGCAGUAAGUUAAUACCUUGCUGUUUUGACGUUACCAACAGAAUAAGCACCGGCUAACUUCGUG
Molecule: ribosomal RNA, 484 nt
Filed under: uncultured bacterium
Lineage: Bacteria
Description: partial 16S ribosomal RNA
Rfam family: Bacterial small subunit ribosomal RNA
Source: RNAcentral